GAUGAACGCUGGCGGCGUGCCUAAUACAUGCAAGUCGAGCGGACAGAUGAUGAGCUUGCUCCUCGGACGUGAGCGGCGGACGGGUGAGUAACACGUGUAUAACCUACCUAUAUGACUGGUAUAACUUCGGGAAACCGGAUCUAAUACCGUAGAAGAUAUUGAACCGCAUUGGGCAAUAGUAAAAUACGGUGUUUCUGUCACUUAUAGAGGGAUCCGCGCCGCAUGAGAUAGUUGUUAAGGUAACGGCUUACCAAGGCAAGGAUGCGUAGCCGACCUGAGAGGGUGGUAGGCGACACUGGAACUGAGCCAGGGUCAAGACUCCUACGGGAGGCAGCAGUAGGCAAUGUUCGGCAACGGGCGAGAGCCUGACGGAACAACGGCGAGUGAGUGAUGACGGUCUUCGGAUCGUAAAAAUGUGUUACUAGGGAAGAACAAAUGUGUAAGUAACUAUGCACGUCUUGACGGUACCUAAUCAGAAAGCAACGGCUAACUACGUG
Molecule: ribosomal RNA, 497 nt
Filed under: uncultured bacterium
Lineage: Bacteria
Description: partial 16S ribosomal RNA
Rfam family: Bacterial small subunit ribosomal RNA
Source: RNAcentral